UUUUGCACAAAGCAAAAGACUUAUGCGGAAACAAACCGCGUACCCAGGAGAACUGGGAUUGGACUCCUUUAAAGGAGAAACAAAAUG
RNAcentral lists this non-coding RNA (87 nucleotides) under unclassified sequences. Its description in RNAcentral is "freshwater-2 RNA". It matches the Rfam family "freshwater-2 RNA". Rfam says of the family: Aquatic, esp. fresh water. No recognized genes The record is from RNAcentral.